GGUGUGGUCGGGGGCGGUGCUGACCCUGGUCGUGCUGGCGGUGCGGCCGCUGCUGCCCGGCCUGUUCGACGCCGAUCCACAGGUC
RNAcentral lists this transfer RNA (85 nucleotides) under Nonomuraea glycinis. RNAcentral's name for it is "tRNA-Ala". The record is from RNAcentral. Lineage: Bacteria; Bacillati; Actinomycetota; Actinomycetes; Streptosporangiales; Streptosporangiaceae.